UACGGGGGGGCAAGCGUUGUUCGGAAUUACUGGGCGUAAAGGGCCAGUAGGCGGCCAACUAAGUCGGAUGUGAAAUCCCCAGGCUCAACUUGGGAACUGCAUCCGAUACUGGAUGGCUUGAAUUCGGGAGAGGGAUGCAGAAUUCCAGGUGUAGCGGUGAAAUGCGUAGAUAUCUGGAGGAAUACCGGUGGCGAAGGCGGCAUCCUGGACCGACAUUGACGCUGAACGGCGAAAGCUAGGGGAGCAAACGGG
Molecule: ribosomal RNA, 252 nt
Filed under: uncultured bacterium
Lineage: Bacteria
Description: partial 16S ribosomal RNA
Rfam family: Bacterial small subunit ribosomal RNA
Source: RNAcentral